AGCACCUUGAGGCAUGUGUUCGUAAACAAGGAUCCGUUCAUUGCCUUCAACAGAAUAUCCCAAUAAAGACACUAAAUUCCUAUGUCUGACUUUGGAAAGAACAGAAAUUUCAGAUUGAAAUUCAUCCAACGCCUUGCUGCUAAUUACUCCAGACUCCAUUCUUUUGACAGCUAUUUUUGUUCCAUCGUCUAAUUCUCCUUUAUAAACCACUCCAAAACCACCACGCCCGAGUUCAUUUUCUGGAGCAAAGUUCUUGGUUACAUCCCUAAGUACUUGAACUGAUAUGACCAAAUUGCCAGCUUCUGUCACAG
Molecule: unclassified non-coding RNA, 311 nt
Filed under: Hevea brasiliensis (rubber tree)
Lineage: Eukaryota; Viridiplantae; Streptophyta; Magnoliopsida; Malpighiales; Euphorbiaceae
Source: RNAcentral